This 73-nucleotide transfer RNA is filed under the name Pucrasia macrolopha. RNAcentral describes it as "tRNA-Val". The record is from RNAcentral. Lineage: Eukaryota; Metazoa; Chordata; Aves; Galliformes; Phasianidae.
CAAGACGUAGCUAUAAACUCUAAAGCAUUCAGCUUACACCUGAAAGAUACCUUCAUAAACGAGGUCGCCUUGA